GACGAACGCUGGCGGCGUGCUUAACACAUGCAAGUCGAACGGAAAGGCCCUGCUUGCAGGGUACUCGAGUGGCGAACGGGUGAGUAACACGUGGGUGAUCUGCCCUGCACUUCGGGAUAAGCCUGGGAAACUGGGUCUAAUACCGGAUAGGAGCCAUUUUUAGUGUGAUGGUUGGAAAGUUUUUUCGGUGUAGGAUGAGCUCGCGGCCUAUCAGCUUGUUGGUGGGGUAAUGGCCUACCAAGGCGGCGACGGGUAGCCGGCCUGAGAGGGUGGACGGCCACAUUGGGACUGAGAUACGGCCCAGACUCCUACGGGAGGCAGCAGUGGGGAAUAUUGCACAAUGGGUGCAAGCCUGAUGCAGCGACGCCGCGUGGGGGAUGACGGCCUUCGGGUUGUAAACUCCUUUCGCUAGGGACGAAGCUUUUUGUGACGGUACCUAGAUAAGAAGCACCGGCUAACUACGUG
This 465-nucleotide ribosomal RNA is filed under the name uncultured bacterium. Its description in RNAcentral is "partial 16S ribosomal RNA". It matches the Rfam family "Bacterial small subunit ribosomal RNA", at positions 28 to 507 of the family's 1533-position model. The record is from RNAcentral.